CCCUUAGAUGGUCUGGGCGGCACGCGCGCUACAAUGAUGCAUUCAAAAAGUCUUCUGACCUUAGAAGGUUGGGUAUUCUCCAAAGUGCAUCGUGAUGGGAAUAGUUUAUUGCAAUUUUUAAUCUUGAACGAGGAAUUCCUAGUAAGUACAGGUCAUCAACUUGUGUUGAUUACGUCCCUGCCCUUUGUACACACCGCCCGUCGCUCCUACUGAUUGAGUGUCUCAGUGAAUUCUUUGAUCUUCUGUCGAUUCAGUUCACUGAUCCGACGGUGGAAAGUUGAAUGAACUUCGUCACUUAGAGGAAGGAGAAGUCGUAACA
Molecule: ribosomal RNA, 319 nt
Filed under: uncultured eukaryote
Lineage: Eukaryota
Description: partial 18S ribosomal RNA
Rfam family: Eukaryotic small subunit ribosomal RNA
Source: RNAcentral